UCGGGAAUUUUGGGCAAUGGGCGAAAGCCUGACCCAGCAACGCCGCGUGAGGGAUGAAGUAUUUCGGUAUGCAAACCUCGAAAGAAUGGGAAGAAUAAAUGACGGUACCAUUUAUAAGCUCCGGCUAACUACGUGCCAGCAGCCGCGGUAAUACGUAGGGAGCAAGCGUUGUUCGGAUUUACUGGGCGUAAAGGGCGCGUAGGCGGCGCGGUAAGUCACUUGUGAAAUCUCUGAGCUUAACUCAGAACGGCCAAGUGAUACUGCUGUGCUAGAGUGCGGAAGAGGCAACCGGAAUUCUUGGUGUAGCGGUGAAAUGCGUAGAUAUCAAGAGGAACACCUGAGGCGAAGGCGGGUUGCUGGGCCGACACUGACGCUGAUGCGCGAAAGCCAGGGGGGCAAACG
This 402-nucleotide ribosomal RNA is filed under the name uncultured bacterium. RNAcentral's name for it is "bacterial SSU rRNA". It matches the Rfam family "Bacterial small subunit ribosomal RNA", at positions 355 to 774 of the family's 1533-position model. The record is from RNAcentral.